CUUGGUCAUUUAGAGGAAGUAAAAGUCGUAACAAGGUUUCCGUAGGUGAACCUGCGGAAGGAUCAUUAAAGAGUUUUUCACUAGCUACUCGGCACAGCCGAGUAGGUAGGUUUACAUCAAUUGAGCUGUCAUGUCGCGUCCAGCGACUUGUUGCGUCCAGCAACAGGUUGUUGCGUUCAGCAACAGACAGCGGGUCCCUGGGACCGUAAGCCAGAUAUUGGUGCAUUAUUGGUCGUGAGCGAAGUCCUCACCGACUAACAAUGCACCAAGAUUAACAAUUGAAACAAAAACACAAUACACGAGAACCUCUACGCAAUGGAUCUCUCGGCUCUUGCAUCGAAGAAGAACGCAGUCAAUUGCGAAAAGUAAUGUGAUGUGCACCCUUUGAGAAGCAUUUUACUCUUUGAACGCACCUUGCGCGCAUCCUUCUGGGAUGCGAGGUCCUGUUUGAGCGUGUUUAACGAAUUUUUAUUUGGCUGCUCUUGCUCGCUACUCGGCUUUGCCGAGUAGAUGGAGAAAUGGCAAUUGAAAAAUAUGCAGGACGCCCGAACGACUCUAGGGCGCCACGACGAGCAGCGCGACAAGCACCACUGCGACUCGAGGCACUGCGGGUUUGCGAAUGCGAAUGCGAGAGCAAUUGCACCUGGCGAACAACACCAACAAACACACACACCUCAAAUCAGGAUAGAGGACCCGCUGAACUUAAGCAUAUCAGUAAGCGGAGGAAAAGAAACUAACGAGGAUUCCCUCAGUAACGGCGAGUGAAGCGGGAACAGCCCAUGACGAACCAUUUAGCAGUAAAAGGAAUGUGUCGUGGAGCGGGGCACGGUGCUGAGCAGAGGUCGCAGGUCCCCUGGAAAGGGGCGGCAGAGAGGGUGAUACCCCCGUGGCGACAUUUGCAAAAGUACAACGUGCCUUGCAGCGAGUCGGAUUGUUUGGGAAUGCAAUCCCAAGUAGGUGGUACGCGCCAUCUAAGGCUAAAUAGCGGCAAGAGACCGAUAGCAAACAAGUACCGUGAGGGAAAGAUGAAAAGGACUCUGAAGAGAGAGUCAAAAGUGCGUGAAAUUGCGUGGAGGGAAACGAAGGCGCGGUUUGCAGGAGACUCGGCCUAGCCGAGUCGAAAGUCGGCGUCGGUCAGCGCAAGAAGCGGCCUGGGAGGUGCCACGUGGCAACACAUGGACAUAGAGCCAGGUCGGAUUGCGGGGACCGGCACCCGGCGGAGACCGCGUCUUUGACCCGUCUUGAAACACGGACC
RNAcentral lists this ribosomal RNA (1255 nucleotides) under uncultured fungus. RNAcentral describes it as "eukaryotic LSU rRNA". The stretch from base 670 to 1255 matches the Rfam family "Eukaryotic large subunit ribosomal RNA", at positions 1 to 667 of the family's 3401-position model. Lineage: Eukaryota; Fungi. The record is from RNAcentral.